GCCGAAGUGGCGGAAUGGUAGACGCGCACGACUCAAAAUCGUGUACCAAUGGUGUGUGGGUUCGAGUCCCACCUUCGGUA
This 80-nucleotide transfer RNA is filed under the name Saprospiraceae bacterium. Its description in RNAcentral is "tRNA-Leu". It matches the Rfam family "tRNA". Rfam says of the family: Transfer RNA (tRNA) molecules are approximately 80 nucleotides in length. Their secondary structure includes four short double-helical elements and three loops (D, anti-codon, and T loops). Lineage: Bacteria; Pseudomonadati; Bacteroidota; Saprospiria; Saprospirales; Saprospiraceae. The record is from RNAcentral.